RNAcentral lists this ribosomal RNA (400 nucleotides) under uncultured bacterium. RNAcentral describes it as "bacterial SSU rRNA". It matches the Rfam family "Bacterial small subunit ribosomal RNA", at positions 29 to 419 of the family's 1533-position model. The record is from RNAcentral.
AAUGAACGCUGGCGGCGCGCCUAAUACAUGCAAGUCGAGCGAGAAGACGUAGCAAUACGUUUGUAAAGCGGCGAACGGGUGAGGAAUACAUGGGUAACCUACCCUCGAGUGGGGAAUAACUAGCCGAAAGGUUAGCUAAUACCGCGUACGCUUCUUGGACUUCGGUUCAGGGAGGAAAGCGAUGCCGAGGGUAUCGCGCUCUUGGAUGGGCUCAUGUCCUAUCAGCUUGUUGGNGAGGUAACGGCUCACCAAGGCUUCGACGGGUAGCUGGUCUGAGAGGACGAUCAGCCACACUGGCACUGCGACACGGGCCAGACUCCUACGGGAGGCAGCAGUAAGGAAUAUUGCGCAAUGGGCGAAAGCCUGACGCAGCGACGCCGCGUGGGGGGAGUGGAAGGUC